Non-coding RNA from Caenorhabditis elegans, 21 nucleotides. NCBI's taxonomy places the organism in Eukaryota, Metazoa, Nematoda, Chromadorea, Rhabditida, Rhabditidae. The record is from Ensembl.
UGAAUAGGCUGGCUUGAUGGA